This 440-nucleotide ribosomal RNA is filed under the name uncultured bacterium. RNAcentral's name for it is "partial 16S ribosomal RNA". It matches the Rfam family "Bacterial small subunit ribosomal RNA", at positions 338 to 795 of the family's 1533-position model. The record is from RNAcentral.
CCUACGGGUGGCAGCAGUAGGGAAUAUUUCUCAAUGGGGGAAACCCUGAUGCAGCAACGCCGCGUGGAGGAUGAAGGUUUUCGGAUUGUAAACUCCUUUUGUUAGAGAAGAUAAUGACGGUAUCUAACGAAUAAGCACCGGCUAACUCCGUGCCAGCAGCCGCGGUAAUACGGAGGGUGCAAGCGUUAAUCGGAAUCACUGGGCGUAAAGAGCGCGUAGGCGGUAUAGCAAGUCAGAUGUGAAAUCCUAUGGCUUAACCAUAGAACUGCAUUUGAAACUGUUAUUCUAGAGUAUGGGAGAGGUAGGUGGAAUUCUUGGUGUAGGGGUAAAAUGCGUAGAGAUCAAGAGGAAUACUCAUUGCGAAGGCGACCUGCUAGAACAUAACUGACGCUGAUGCGCGAAAGCGUGGGGAGCAAACAGGAUUAGAUACCCGUGUAGUC